GCCGGCAUAGCUCAGAUGGCAGAGCGGCUGUUUUGUAAACAGCGGGUCGCGGGUUCGAUGCCUGCUGCCGGCCCCA
RNAcentral lists this transfer RNA (76 nucleotides) under Nevskiaceae bacterium. RNAcentral's name for it is "tRNA-Thr". It matches the Rfam family "tRNA". From Rfam's summary of the family: Transfer RNA (tRNA) molecules are approximately 80 nucleotides in length. Their secondary structure includes four short double-helical elements and three loops (D, anti-codon, and T loops). Further hydrogen bonds mediate the characteristic L-shaped molecular structure. tRNAs have two regions of fundamental functional importance: the anti-codon, which is responsible for specific mRNA codon recognition, and the 3' end, to which the tRNAs corresponding amino acid is attached (by aminoacyl-tRNA synthetases). tRNAs cope with the degeneracy of the genetic code in two manners: having more than one tRNA (with a specific anti-codon) for a particular amino acid; and 'wobble' base-pairing, i.e. permitting non-standard base-pairing at the 3rd anti-codon position. Lineage: Bacteria; Pseudomonadati; Pseudomonadota; Gammaproteobacteria; Nevskiales; Nevskiaceae. The record is from RNAcentral.